AUUGCAUCUUUGGUCCUUUUGGUCAAUUUUGACUUAUUCAACGCCUACGUGGCAGGCCACGUGUGUAAUUAAUUAAUUAAAUAAUUUAAAAAACCAAAAAAUCUAUUUUUAAAUUAAAUAAUUUAAAAAAAGAAUUAAAAAAUUAGAAGAAAAAAAAAAUCAAUUAUUUUCGCUUCCAAUGGCUUCUUCCCUUCCAAUCUAUGUGUUUGGUUGGUUCAAUCUCCCUUCUUUCUCUCUACUAACCCCAGCCACCAGCACCACCUUCCAUUCCAAUGGUUUCUUCUUCUUCUUCCUCUUGAACCCAUCACCUUCCCAACAAAACCCCCAAGUACUCCAUAGUAGCUACAAGUCUACAACCCCAUAUGGAUCUGAGAGGAGCUUCUUCCAUAUUAAAUAUAUAGGCGUGUUCUUGUGCGUAGCUAAGGCGUGUUUGAGGCUUGAGGUAUGAGGCUUUGUGGUUCUGUGGCCGCAGAGUUGAUAUGGUUGGGGGGAGUUUUUUGGCCUAACAUUAUGCCUGUUGUUGCUGGUUCUGUUUUGCUCUCUAGGCUUUCUAGCUUUUUUUUUUCUUUCUGUUUUUGUGCUGCAUUUUCCUCCUGCUGUUGGUACAUGUAUUUGUUUAAAUUCAAUUUGCUCCUGUUUUUGUGCUCCAGAUCAACCUG
RNAcentral lists this long non-coding RNA (659 nucleotides) under Medicago truncatula (barrel medic). Its description in RNAcentral is "long non-coding RNA (MTRU_LNC000387)". The record is from RNAcentral. Lineage: Eukaryota; Viridiplantae; Streptophyta; Magnoliopsida; Fabales; Fabaceae.